GACGAACGCUGGCGGCGUGCUUAACACAUGCAAGUCGAACGGAAAGGCCCUGCUUUUGUGGGGUGCUCGAGUGGCGAACGGGUGAGUAACACGUGAGUAACCUGCCCUUGACUUUGGGAUAACUUCAGGAAACUGGGGCUAAUACCGGAUAGGAGCUCCUGCUGCAUGGUGGGGGUUGGAAAGUUUCCGCGGUCGGGGAUGGACUCGCGGCUUAUCAGCUUGUUGGUGGGGUAGUGGCUUACCAAGGCUUUGACGGGUAGCCGGCCUGAGAGGGUGACCGGCCACAUUGGGACUGAGAUACGGCCCAGACUCCUACGGGAGGCAGCAGUGGGGAAUAUUGCACAAUGGGCGGAAGCCUGAUGCAGCAACGCCGCGUGCGGGAUGACGGCCUUCGGGUUGUAAACCGCUUUCGCCUGUGACGAAGCGUGAGUGACGGUAAUGGGUAAAGAAGCACCGGCUAACUACGUG
This 468-nucleotide ribosomal RNA is filed under the name uncultured bacterium. RNAcentral's name for it is "partial 16S ribosomal RNA". It matches the Rfam family "Bacterial small subunit ribosomal RNA", at positions 28 to 507 of the family's 1533-position model. The record is from RNAcentral.